UGUGUGUUAGUGGAAGCGUCUGGAAAGGCGCGCGAUACAGGGUGACAGCCCCGUACACAAAAAUGCACAUGCUGUGAGCUCGAUGAGUAGGGCGGGACACGUGGUAUCCUGUCUGAAUAUGGGGGGACCAUCCUCCAAGGCUAAAUACUCCUGACUGACCGAUAGUGAACCAGUACCGUGAGGGAAAGGCGAAAAGAACCCCGGCGAGGGGAGUGAAAAAGAACCUGAAACCGUGUACGUACAAGCAGUGGGAGCACGCUUAGGCGUGUGACUGCGUACCUUUUGUAUAAUGGGUCAGCGACUUAUAUUCUGUAGCAAGGUUAACCGAAUAGGGGAGCCGAAGGGAAACCGAGUCUUAACUGGGCGUUAAGUUGCAGGGUAUAGACCCGAAACCCGGUGAUCUAGCCAUGGGCAGGUUGAAGGUUGGGUAACACUAACUGGAGGACCGAACCGACUAAUGUUGAAAAAUUAGCGGAUGACUUGUGGCUGGGGGUGAAAGGCCAAUCAAACCGGGAGAUAGCUGGUUCUCCCCGAAAGCUAUUUAGGUAGCGCCUCGUGAAUUCAUCUCCGGGGGUAGAGCACUGUUUCGGCAAGGGGGUCAUCCCGACUUACCAACCCGAUGCAAACUGCGAAUACCGGAGAAUGUUAUCACGGGAGACACACGGCGGGUGCUAACGUCCGUCGUGAAGAGGGAAACAACCCAGACCGCCAGCUAAGGUCCCAAAGUCAUGGUUAAGUGGGAAACGAUGUGGGAAGGCCCAGACAGCCAGGAUGUUGGCUUAGAAGCAGCCAUCAUUUAAAGAAAGCGUAAUAGCUCACUGGUCGAGUCGGCCUGCGCGGAAGAUGUAACGGGGCUAAACCAUGCACCGAAGCUGCGGCAGCGACGCUUAUGCGUUGUUGGGUAGGGGAGCGUUCUGUAAGCCUGUGAAGGUGUGCUGUGAGGCAUGCUGGAGGUAUCAGAAGUGCGAAUGCUGACAUAAGUAACGAUAAAGCGGGUGAAAAGCCCGCUCGCCGGAAGACCAAGGGUUCCUGUCCAACGUUAAUCGGGGCAGGGUGAGUCGACCCCUAAGGCGAGGCCGAAAGGCGUAGUCGAUGGGAAACAGGUUAAUAUUCCUGUACUUGGUGUUACUGCGAAGGGGGGACGGAGAAGGCUAUGUUGGCCGGGCGACGGUUGUCCCGGUUUAAGCGUGUAGGCUGGUUUUCCAGGCAAAUCCGGAAAAUCAAGGCUGAGGCGUGAUGACGAGGCACUACGGUGCUGAAGCAACAAAUGCCCUGCUUCCAGGAAAAGCCUCUAAGCAUCAGGUAACAUCAAAUCGUACCCCAAACCGACACAGGUGGUCAGGUAGAGAAUACCAAGGCGCUUGAGAGAACUCGGGUGAAGGAACUAGGCAAAAUGGUGCCGUAACUUCGGGAGAAGGCACGCUGAUAUGUAGGUGAAGUCCCUCGCGGAUGGAGCUGAAAUCAGUCGAAGAUACCAGCUGGCUGCAACUGUUUAUUAAAAACACAGCACUGUGCAAACACGAAAGUGGACGUAUACGGUGUGACGCCUGCCCGGUGCCGGAAGGUUAAUUGAUGGGGUCAGCGCAAGCGAAGCUCUUGAUCGAAGCCCCGGUAAACGGCGGCCGUAACUAUAACGGUCCUAAGGUAGCGAAAUUCCUUGUCGGGUAAGUUCCGACCUGCACGAAUGGCGUAAUGAUGGCCAGGCUGUCUCCACCCGAGACUCAGUGAAAUUGAACUCGCUGUGAAGAUGCAGUGUACCCGCGGCAAGACGGAAAG
Molecule: ribosomal RNA, 1776 nt
Filed under: Escherichia coli
Lineage: Bacteria; Pseudomonadati; Pseudomonadota; Gammaproteobacteria; Enterobacterales; Enterobacteriaceae
Description: partial 23S ribosomal RNA
Rfam family: Bacterial large subunit ribosomal RNA
Source: RNAcentral